RNAcentral lists this ribosomal RNA (319 nucleotides) under uncultured eukaryote. Its description in RNAcentral is "partial 18S ribosomal RNA". It matches the Rfam family "Eukaryotic small subunit ribosomal RNA", at positions 1470 to 1796 of the family's 1831-position model. The record is from RNAcentral.
UCCUUAGAUGUUCUGGGCAGCACGCGCGCUAAAAUGGUCUUCGCAAACGGAUGCAUUCUCGAAGGAGAAUGCCAAUCUUGGAAUCUAUGCCUUGGUCGGGACAGUUGCUUGCAAUUUUUCGACUCGAACCAGGAAUUCCUUGUAAUCGUGAUUCAUCACAUCACGAUGAAUACGUCCCUGCCCUUUGUACACACCGCCCGUCGCUCCUACCGAUCGAAGAGUUAGGUGAAUUGUUUUGAUCGAUAAGAUUUGACUAUGGUCAACUCUCGUUGUGAAAUUCUGUGAAUCUGACUGUUUAGAGGAAGGAAAAGUCGUAACA